UUUUUUUCUAUAAAUUCUAAUUUAUCCUAUUAUUUUAUUUUUAUUUUUUUAAAUUUUGUGAUUUAAUUCAUGUUAGUCCUAAUUCAUGUCAACCCGACUUUCUAUUUUUUCGUCUCUUUUAUCUUUUUUUUUUUCCUCCUCUUUUUUUUUCUAUUUUUUUUCUUUUCUUAUCACGACGAAGAAAAAAGGGGUGAAAAAAAAGGAGAAUAAUAUUAAUCUAAUUUUGUUUGAUUUGAUUUAUUCUUUCG
Molecule: long non-coding RNA, 248 nt
Filed under: Musa acuminata (dwarf banana)
Lineage: Eukaryota; Viridiplantae; Streptophyta; Magnoliopsida; Zingiberales; Musaceae
Description: long non-coding RNA (MACU_LNC002124)
Source: RNAcentral